CCAGCUCCAAGAGUGUAUAUUAAUACUGCUGUAGUUAAAACGCCCGUAGUAUACCUAAGAGUGCGCAUGUAGUAAUUAGUUCUAUCAAGAGAUGGUUGGGAAGAGUUUAUAACCCUUUUUUGCCUACUUUUGGUAAACUUCAGUCGGUCAGGGCCUUACGGUUCUCGUUCGACAGUUGCUGCGUGUACACUUGUCCACGGUUCAUCCGUGAGGCCCCUUUGGGUUGCAACUGUAAAUAAAUCGUUGUGCUUAAAGCGGGCUAUGAUACUCUGCCAGAGCGAUUUAGCAUGGGACUGCAGAGUAGCUGUAUUUGAGUGAAACCUGGAUUUCGGUUUGGGCGUAGCUUGGNNCAGCGCUUGUAAUGGAGCUCAGGGUGAGGCCCCGGGUACCAUGAGGCUAGAGGUGAAAUUCUGAGACCCUCAUGUGACCAACUAAGGCGAAAGCUGUCGUGGGCCACCACAAGCUCGUCUAUCAGGGACGAAAGUUGGGGGAUCGAAGACGAUUAGAUACCGUCGUAGUCCCAACUAUAAACGAUACCAACCGAGUAUUUGGGAAGACACUAUCCCAGCGAUCUUCUCAGAACUCAAGGGAAACCUUAAGUCUUUGGGUUCUGGGGGGAGUAUAGUCGCAAGACCGAAACUUAAAGGAAUUGACGGAAAGGCACCACCAGGAGUGGAGUCUGCGGCUUAAUUCGACUCAAC
This 701-nucleotide ribosomal RNA is filed under the name Naegleria sp. CRIB-36. RNAcentral's name for it is "SSU rRNA". It matches the Rfam family "Eukaryotic small subunit ribosomal RNA", at positions 585 to 1204 of the family's 1831-position model. Lineage: Eukaryota; Heterolobosea; Eutetramitea; Acrasida; Naegleriidae. The record is from RNAcentral.